This 440-nucleotide ribosomal RNA is filed under the name uncultured bacterium. RNAcentral describes it as "partial 16S ribosomal RNA". It matches the Rfam family "Bacterial small subunit ribosomal RNA", at positions 338 to 795 of the family's 1533-position model. The record is from RNAcentral.
CCUACGGGCGGCAGCAGUGGGGAAUAUUGCACAAUGGGGGGAACCCUGAUGCAGCAACGCCGCGUGGGUGAAGAAGUACUUCGGUAUGUAAAGUUCUGUCAGCAGGGAAGAAAAUGACGGUACCUGACUAAGAAGCCCCGGCUAACUACGUGCCAGCAGCCGCGGUAAUACGUAGGGGGCAAGCGUUAUCCGGAUUUACUGGGUGUAAAGGGAGCGUAGACGGUUAAGCAAGUCUGAAGUGAAAGCCCGGGGCUCAACCACGGGACUGCUUUGGAAACUGUUGAGCUAGAGUGCAGGAGAGGUAAGCGGAAUUCCUAGUGUAGCGGUGAAAUGCGUAGAUAUUAGGAGGAACACCAGUGGCGAAGGCGGCUUACUGGACUGUAAAUGACGUUGAGGCUCGAAGGCGUGGGGAGCAAACAGGAUUAGAUACCCCUGUAGUC